This 451-nucleotide ribosomal RNA is filed under the name uncultured bacterium. RNAcentral describes it as "partial 16S ribosomal RNA". It matches the Rfam family "Bacterial small subunit ribosomal RNA", at positions 28 to 507 of the family's 1533-position model. The record is from RNAcentral.
AGCGAACGCUGGCGGUAUGCCUAACACAUGCAAGUCGCACGGGGGGGCUUCGGCCUCCCAGUGGCGGACGGGCGAGGAACGCGUAGGGACCUGUCGAGGGGUGGGGGAUAACCGCGGGAAACUGCGGCUAAUACCGCAUGACGCCGCGGCGUGACAGCCGGGGCCAAAGGCGAAAGCCGCCCGCCGAGGGGCCUGCGUCCGAUUAGCUGGUUGGCGGGGUAGCGGCCCACCAAGGCGUCGAUCGGUAGCUGGUCUGAGAGGGUGAUCAGCCACACCGGGACUGAGACACGGCCCGGACUCCUACGGGAGGCAGCAGUGGGGAAUAUUGGACAAUGGGCGCAAGCCUGAUCCAGCAAUGCCGCGUGGGUGAAGAAGGUCUUCGGAUUGUAAAGCCCUUUCGGCGGGGACGAUGGUGACGGUACCCGCAGAAGAAGCCCCGGCUAACUUCGUG